AGCGAACGCUGGCGGCAGGCUUAACACAUGCAAGUCGAGCGGGCACUUCGGUGUCAGCGGCAGACGGGUGAGUAACACGUGGGAACGUACCCUUUGGUUCGGAAUAACGCUGGGAAACUAGCGCUAAUACCGGAUACGCCCUUUUGGGGAAAGGCUUGCUGCCGAAGGAUCGGCCCGCGUCUGAUUAGCUAGUUGGUGGGGUAAUGGCCUACCAAGGCGACGAUCAGUAGCUGGUCUGAGAGGAUGAUCAGCACACUGGGACUGAGACACGGCCCAGACUCCUACGGGAGGCAGCAGUGGGGAAUAUUGGACAAUGGGCGCAAGCCUGAUCCAGCCAUGCCGCGUGAGUGAUGAAGGCCUUAGGGUUGUAAAGCUCUUUUGUCCGGGACGAUAAUGACGGUACCGGAAGAAUAAGCCCCGGCUAACUUCGUG
This 432-nucleotide ribosomal RNA is filed under the name uncultured bacterium. RNAcentral describes it as "partial 16S ribosomal RNA". It matches the Rfam family "Bacterial small subunit ribosomal RNA", at positions 29 to 507 of the family's 1533-position model. The record is from RNAcentral.